AUACGUAGGGGGCGAGCGUUGUCCGGAAUGAUUGGGCGUAAAGGGCGCGUAGGCGGCCCGGUAAGUCUGGAGUGAAAGUCCUGUUUUUAAGAUGGGAAUUGCUUUGGAUACUGUCGGGCUUGAGUGCAGGAGAGGUAAGUGGAAUUCCCAGUGUAGCGGUGAAAUGCGUAGAGAUUGGGAGGAACACCAGUGGCGAAGGCGACUUACUGGACUGUAACUGACGCUGAGGCGCGAAAGUGGGGGGAGCAAACAGGAUUAGAUACCCUGGUAGUCCACACUGUAAACGAUGAAUGCUAGGUGUAGGGGGUAUCGACCCCUUCUGUGCCGCAGUCAACACAAUAAGCAUUCCGCCUGGGGAGUACGGCCGCAAGGUUGAAACUCAAAGGAAUUGACGGGG
Molecule: ribosomal RNA, 397 nt
Filed under: uncultured bacterium
Lineage: Bacteria
Description: partial 16S ribosomal RNA
Rfam family: Bacterial small subunit ribosomal RNA
Source: RNAcentral